GGUUAAGCUACUAAGAGCACACGGUGGAUGCCUAGGCGCUAGGAGCCGAUGAAGGACGUGGCGAACAACGAUAAAGCCUCGGGGAGCUGUAAGCAAGCUGUGAUCCGGGGAUGUCCGAAUGGGGAAACCUAACUGGAUUCAUCUCCAGUUACUCACACCUGAAUACAUAGGGUGUGCAGAGGCAGACGAGGGGAACUGAAACAUCUAAGUACCCUCAGGAAAAGAAAACAAGAGUGAUUCCGUCAGUAGCGGCGAGCGAACGCGGAACAGCCCAAACCAAGAAGCUUGCUUCUUGGGGUUGUGGGACGUCUCUUUGGAGUUACAAAGGAAUGAGGUAGGCGAAGAGGUCUGGAAAGGCCCGCAAGACAAGGUGAAAGCCCUGUAGCUUAAAUCUCAUUCUCUCCGAGACGGAUCCCGAGUAGUGCGGGGCACGUGAAACCCCGUAUGAAUCUGCCAGGACCAUCUGGUAAGGCUAAAUACUCCCUAGCGACCGAUAGUGAAGCAGUACCGUGAGGGAAAGGUGAAAAGGACCCCGGAAGGGGAGUGAAAUAGAACCUGAAACCGUGUGCUUACAAAAAGUCAGAGCCCUAUUAAUGGGUGAUGGCGUGCCUUUUGUAGAAUGAACCGGCGAGUUACGUUCCCGUGCAAGGUUAAGGUGAAAAGCCGGAGCCGCAGCGAAAGCGAGUCUGAAUAGGGCGAUUAAGUACGUGGACGUAGACCCGAAACCAGGUGAUCUACCCCUGUCCAGGGUGAAGGUACGGUAACACGUACUGGAGGCCCGAACCCACGCACGUUGAAAAGUGCGGGGAUGAGGUGGGGGUAGCGGAGAAAUUCCAAUCGAACCUGGAGAUAGCUGGUUCUCCCCGAAAUAGCUUUAGGGCUAGCCUCGGAAGUUGAGUCGUGGAGGUAGAGCACUGAUUGGAUGCGGGGCCCGCAAGGGUUACCAAGUUCAGUCAAACUCCGAAUGCCACAGACUUUAUUCCGGGAGUCAGACAGUGAGUGCUAAGAUCCAUUGUCGAAAGGGAAACAGCCCAGACCAUCAGCUAAGGUCCCCAAGUGUGUGUUAAGUGGGAAAGGAUGUGAAGUUGCACAGACAACCAGGAUGUUGGCUUAGAAGCAGCCACCAUUGAAAGAGUGCGUAAUAGCUCACUGGUCGAGUGACUUUGCGCCGAAAAUGUAACGGGGCUAAACACACCACCGAAGCUAUGGCUUGAUACUUUGUAUCAGGGGUAGGGGAGCGUUGAAUGAAGAUUGAAGGUGUACCGCAAGGAGCGCUGGACCUCAUUCAAGUGAGAAUGCCGGUAUGAGUAACGAAAAGAUCAGUGAGAAUCUGAUCCGCCGAAAACCCAAGGAUUCCUGAGGAAGGCUCGUCCUCUCAGGGUAAGUCGGGACCUAAGGCGAGGCCGAAAGGCGUAGUCGACGGACAACAGGUUGAAAUUCCUGUACCACCGAAAGCCGUUAUGAGCAAUGGGAUGACGCAGGAGGAUAGUGACGCGGACUGAUGGAUGUCCGUUCAAGCAGUGAGGCUGGUAUGUAGGCAAAUCCGCAUACCGCAAGGCCAGGCUGUGAUGAGGAGCGAAAAUUGUAGUAGCGAAGGUCAUGAUUUCACACUGCCAAGAAAAGUCUCUAGCCAGGAAGCAGGUGCCCGUACCGUAAACCGACACAGGUGGGUGAGAAGAGAAUUCUAAGGCGCGCGGAAGAACUCUCGUUAAGGAACUCGGCAAAAUGACCCCGUAACUUCGGGAGAAGGGGUGCCCCGGUAGUGUGAAUAGCACGAGGGGGCCGCAGUGAAAAGGCCCAAGCGACUGUUUAGCAAAAACACAGGUCUGUGCGAAGCCGCAAGGCGAAGUAUACGGGCUGACGCCUGCCCGGUGCUGGAAGGUUAAGGGGAGUGGUUAGCGCAAGCGAAGCUAUGAACCGAAGCCCCAGUAAACGGCGGCCGUAACUAUAACGGUCCUAAGGUAGCGAAAUUCCUUGUCAGGUAAAUUCUGACCCGCACGAAUGGCGUAACGAUUUGGGCGCUGUCUCAACGAGAGAUCCGGUGAAAUUUUAAUACCUGUGAAGAUGCAGGUUACCCGCGACAAGACGGAAAGACCCCAUGGAGCUUUACUGCAACUUGAUAUUGAACUGGGGUGCGAUUUGUACAGGAUAGGUGGGAGCCGUAGAAACCGGAGCGCAAGCUUCGGUUGAGGCGCCGUUGGGAUACCACCCUGAUCGCAUUUGAGUUCUAACCUCGUACCGUGAUCCGGUACAGGGACCGUGUCAGGUGGGCAGUUUGACUGGGGCGGUCGCCUCCUAAAGUGUAACGGAGGCGCCCUAAGGUUCCCUCAGAAUGGUUGGAAAUCAUUCGAAGAGUGUAAAGGCAUAAGGGAGCUUGACUGCGAGACAGACACGUCGAGCAGGGACGAAAGUCGGGCUUAGUGAUCCGGUGGUACCGCAUGGAAGGGCCAUCGCUCAACGGAUAAAAGCUACCCUGGGGAUAACAGGCUUAUCUCCCCCAAGAGUCCACAUCGACGGGGAGGUUUGGCACCUCGAUGUCGGCUCAUCGCAUCCUGGGGCUGAAGUAGGUCCCAAGGGUUGGGCUGUUCGCCCAUUAAAGCGGUACGCGAGCUGGGUUCAGAACGUCGUGAGACAGUUCGGUCCCUAUCUGUCGUGGGCGUAGGAAAUUUGAGAGGAGCUGUCCUUAGUACGAGAGGACCGGGAUGGACGCACCGCUGGUGUACCAGUUGUUCCGCCAGGAGCAUCGCUGGGUAGCUACGUGCGGAAGGGAUAAGCGCUGAAAGCAUCUAAGCGUGAAGCCCCCCUCAAGAUGAGAUUUCCCAGUAUGUAAGACCCCUUGUAGACGACGAGGUUGAUAGGUUGGGGGUGGAAGUGCCGUAAGGCAUGGAGCUGACCAAUACUAAUCGGUCGAGGGCUUAUCCAA
Molecule: ribosomal RNA, 2923 nt
Filed under: Paenibacillus nuruki
Lineage: Bacteria; Bacillati; Bacillota; Bacilli; Caryophanales; Paenibacillaceae
Description: 23S ribosomal RNA
Rfam family: Bacterial large subunit ribosomal RNA
Source: RNAcentral